CCUUAGUUACCAGCACGUUAUGGUGGGCACUCUAAGGAGACUGCCGGGUGACAAACCGGAGGAAGGUGGGGAUGACGUCAAGUCAUCAUGGCCCUUACGGCCUGGGCUACACACGUGCUACAAUGGUCGGUACAAAGGGUUGCCAAGCCGCGAGGUGGAGCUAAUCCCAUAAACCGAUCGUAGUCCGGAUCGCAGUCUGCAACUCGACUGCGUGAAGUCGGAAUCGCUAGUAAUCGUGAAUCAGAAUGUCACGGUGAAUACGUUCCCGGGCCUU
This 274-nucleotide ribosomal RNA is filed under the name uncultured Pseudomonas sp. RNAcentral describes it as "partial 16S ribosomal RNA". It matches the Rfam family "Bacterial small subunit ribosomal RNA", at positions 1109 to 1382 of the family's 1533-position model. Lineage: Bacteria; Pseudomonadati; Pseudomonadota; Gammaproteobacteria; Pseudomonadales; Pseudomonadaceae. The record is from RNAcentral.